GUCGAGAAUCUUCCGCAAUGGGCGCAAGCCUGACGGAGCGACGCCGCGUGGAGGACGAAGGCCUUCGGGUUGUAAACUCCUGUCACGAGUUAAGAAGGUGCUGCUGCGAACAGCGGUAGCAUUUGACGUAAGCUCGAGAGGAAGCACUGGCUAACUCUGUGCCAGCAGCCGCGGUAAUACAGAGAGUGCAAACGUUGUUCGGAAUUACUGGGCUUAAAGCGCACGUAGGCGGCGCCGCAAGUGUGGGGUGAAAGCCCACGGCUUACCCGUGGAAUAGCCUGGCAGACUGCGGUGCUUGAGUGUGGUAGGGGAGAGCGGAACUCCUGGUGGAGCGGUGAAAUGCGUAGAUAUCAGGAGGAACACCGGUGGCGAAGGCGGCUCUCUGGUCCACAACUGACGCUGAGGUGCGAAAGCUAGGGGAGCAAACGGGAUUAGAAACCCCUGUAGUCC
Molecule: ribosomal RNA, 450 nt
Filed under: uncultured bacterium
Lineage: Bacteria
Description: bacterial SSU rRNA
Rfam family: Bacterial small subunit ribosomal RNA
Source: RNAcentral